This 70-nucleotide transfer RNA is filed under the name Loxodonta africana (African savanna elephant). It matches the Rfam family "tRNA". From Rfam's summary of the family: Transfer RNA (tRNA) molecules are approximately 80 nucleotides in length. Lineage: Eukaryota; Metazoa; Chordata; Mammalia; Proboscidea; Elephantidae. The record is from Rfam by way of RNAcentral.
GCAGUGGUGGUUCAGGGUAGAAUUCUCACCCUCCAUGCUAGAGACCCGGGUUUGAUUCCCAGCCGAUGCA